RNAcentral lists this ribosomal RNA (492 nucleotides) under uncultured bacterium. RNAcentral describes it as "partial 16S ribosomal RNA". It matches the Rfam family "Bacterial small subunit ribosomal RNA", at positions 29 to 507 of the family's 1533-position model. The record is from RNAcentral.
AGUGAACGCUGGCGGUAGGCCUAACACAUGCAAGUCGAACGGCAGCACAGUAAGAGCUUGCUCUUACGGGUGGCGAGUGGCGGACGGGUGAGGAAUACAUCGGAAUCUACUUUUUCGUGGGGGAUAACGUAGGGAAACUUACGCUAAUACCGCAUACGACCUACGGGUGAAAGCAGGGGAUCUUCGGACCUUGCGCGAUUGAAUGAGCCGAUGUCGGAUUAGCUAGUUGGCGGGGUAAAGGCCCACCAAGGCGACGAUCCGUAGCUGGUCUGAGAGGAUGAUCAGCCACACUGGAACCGCGACACGGUCCAGACUCCUAAGGGAGGCAGCAGUGGGGAAUAUUUGACGAUGGGCGCAAGCCUGAUCCAGCCGUACCGCGUGGGUGAAGAAGGCCUUCGGGUUGUAAAGCCCUUUUGUUGGGAAAGAAAAGCAGCAGGUUAAUACCCCGCUGUUCUGACGGUACCCAAAGAAUAAGCACCGGCUAACUUCGUG